RNAcentral lists this small RNA (94 nucleotides) under Gloeocapsa. RNAcentral describes it as "sp. Guanidine-I sequence". It matches the Rfam family "Guanidine-I riboswitch aptamer". From Rfam's summary of the family: This family represents a conserved RNA structure found upstream of the ykkC and yxkD genes in Bacillus subtilis and related genes in other bacteria. The function of this family is unclear although it has been suggested that it may function to switch on efflux pumps and detoxification systems in response to harmful environmental molecules. Lineage: Bacteria; Bacillati; Cyanobacteriota; Cyanophyceae; Chroococcidiopsidales; Chroococcidiopsidaceae. RNAcentral also lists the same sequence under 1 other name. The record is from RNAcentral.
AAAAUAAGCUUCUAGGGUUCCGGUUGAUAACGUCUGGUCCGAGAGAAGCAAGCUGCUCUAAGUAGCUACACGGAGGGAGAAAAGCCCGGGAGAA